Molecule: non-coding RNA, 3520 nt
Organism: Nothobranchius furzeri (turquoise killifish)
Lineage: Eukaryota; Metazoa; Chordata; Actinopteri; Cyprinodontiformes; Nothobranchiidae
Source: RefSeq, a predicted model, not a curated record
UUCAGUUUCGGCUCCCGCCAGAGAAUUCUGCUGUUAAGUCCUUGGGCAAGACACUUAACCAACCUGCCUGUUGGUGGUGGUUGGAGGGACCGGUGCUGCCUGUGUUCAGCGGUCUGGCUUCUGUCGGUGCGCCCCAGUGCAGCUGUGGCUACAGUGUAGCUCAUCAUCACCAGUGUGUGAAUGGGUGAAAGACUGAUUGUGUUGUGAAGCGCCUUGGGGGGCUGUAGAGCCCUAAGAAGGCACUGUACAACUACAGAGCAUUGAGCACAUACCACCAUCUCUAAAUCUCAUGGCAGAGAAUCAUACCACUAGGCCACUGAGCUCGUUAAGAAUAGAUUGUAUCGUGUGUGUUUGUGUGUGUUUGUGUGUGUGUGUGUGUGUGUGUGUGUGUGUGUGUGUGUGUGUGUGUGUGUGUGUGUGUGUGUGUGUGUGUGUGUGUGUGUGUGUGUGUGUGUGUGUGUGUGUGUGUGUGUGUGUGUGUGUGCUUAGACUCACAGCAGGAAGCAUAUUCAUUACAUCUUAAACCCAGUUGUCACCGACUUUGUUUAAUGAACAUCAGCCUUCAGUCUCCAUAGCAACCUGCUGUUGUAAAUGUGACAUUUAGGUUAGACUGCAAUUCCCCAGUUGUGUGUUUCCACCUGCUCAUUUCCCCUCUCAAUAAACAGUAACAUUAACUCCGGGGAAGCUCAACAGGAAGGGGGACGAUGACACAUCUGGCUGUAAGAAUGGUUGAAAAGGGACGAGCUGCUGCGUCUCUCUCAUCUUUGUGCUUCACCCUCCUGGACAAAACUGACCUUUUAGCUUGUUGUGCUGGUGUGAUCUGAUCGUCUCUUUUGGAAGUGUUAUGAUUGUUUUGAGGAGAAUGGAAAUAGGCAGUAAAGGUGGGACACACUCCUCAAGGUUUUCAGAAACAUCCAGAGUAAAUGUGAUCUUCUUUAAAAAUGAAUGUUUUUGAAUCAGAGAUUUGAUUCAGUUCUUCCUGAAGGCUGGCUGUUAAUGCUGCCAUGGAUGCAGCACUGCUUUUUAUGUGGUCCACACGAAGAACCAUAAAAACUACAGUUUAAAGAAAAAAAAUGAAAUAUUAGCAUCUAAGCGGGCUAGAUCUGUGUACGCUGGUGAAUGAUCCACCUCACCACUGAAAUCGGUGACAUUUGAGCCGUCUUUAGGAGAGCCUAAAUCUUUUCUCCUGCAUCUGCAACGUCUUCUUCUGCAGCACAUCCACGGUUGUCUGCAGGUCCUUGUUCUGAUCUACCCUACCUUGUACCUGGAUGGUCUCUGCCUAGCCCUUACUGGAUUCGACUGCUCCUCUGACCUCUGACCCUGCUCUGAACCACGGCCUCCAAUUAUUGUCUGCUCCUCCUAUUUCAUUCAUGAAUAAGAACGACCUUUUCCAGGACAAGAUGUUACAUCAUGGCCGACACCUGCGGUUAUACCUGUCACCAUUUAAAGGUACGACUGAUGUCAGAGGGUUUGUUCUGGUCUGUAAAUGGGAUUUCUUCCUGCUUCUGUGCACAUUCAAAGAAAAAAACACUUUGUACAAAAUAACAAAGUUUGGUCCCUCUCUGAAGCAUAUUAGGGGAAGUGGGCAGUUUUGGCGUGCUUUUAGCACCACCUAGUGUCCGUCUGUACAACCGAAAGCAAAACCUAUCCCAACACGUUCAUUCUAGCAGCUGCAACAUCUCAGCCUUCAUUAGUGUCUACAGGAGAGUCAAGUAGCUGGUUACUUAAAUAAAAUGUCAGUAGAAAAUAAAGGUAUUUAAUAAAAUUUUGAGCCUUUAAACGUCUUUGUUAUGUUUUUACUGAGUUUGUUUUCUGAUUUAGUUUUCUUUAGCUCUGCAUUUUACUCAGUGUGAUGAGGACUUGUUUUUACCUUUGCCGACAUGUUUCGACAUCACUGCCGUCUUCGUCAGGGUAACCACCGGAUGUCAGUGGUGUCACUUCCUUUGUGAUCCGUGUUAUCCCAGUUUAUGAUCCGUGUUAUUCCAGUCCAUCAUGUGAUUUCUCUUGUAGAGUGGUCAGGACAUAUCACACAAUGAAUGAACGCCGAUGAAACAUGGCCUGGUUGUUUAAGAGUUUUCUAACUGACUCAGAAAGAUGUGGUGUCUGGUGUAUUAAACACAUCGGGAUGUUAGUUGGAUGUAAUUUAAAAAGUUAUCAUAUUAACUCCAACCACUCUGACACCAUUGUUUACUCUACACACCCUGGAUCAUGGAAACUCCGGAGAUCCGGUCUGCAGGUGAAGCCGUCUCUCAGAGCGAGUGAGUGGACUUCUGAUGUAUCUGAAGAUCGUAGACACCCUCAGCGUACGCACGACUGGUCAGAAGAUAAUUCCCAGGUGGCUUCUGGUGGACGGUUUCAUGUCUGAUGAGUGGGUGGUGGACUGAGCAAAUAAUAACUGUUGAUUCAAAAGGACAGUUCAUGUGCUGCUGAAGUUAUUCCACUGAAUAAUCUGGUUUAAUCCCCAUAGGAUGGUCAUUUGGCAUGAGCUGAGAGCUCUGGUGGAACUGGGAAAGUAGGAAGUGAUUCACUCUUAAUGAAAUGGUUGUUUAUAAACAUUGACCAACCAGAUCUGAGAAAUGUGUUGUGGUGUUUACCACGACCCUCAGCCCCUCCCCUUUCUGUGACGCUUAUAAAGCUUUUUUCCCUUCAUAUCUGGAGUAACUCUGUUAGACAUUCAUUUGUUAUUAUACUGAUAUUAUUAUGUGAAUGUAGCUGAUAAUUAAUUAUCAUUAAAUCAUCAAGCAGACUCAUUUAGUGUCUUUAAGAUGGGAACUAAGUUAUGAAAUAAUAAACAUUUGUGUUUAUCAAUUAAUUAAUAAUAAAACCAGGUUAGAUAGAACAUUCAUUGUAGGUAAUUUUAAUUAUAACCAGCUUGUGAAGAACCAUUAAUGAGGCUAAAUAAGAUAAAUUUUAUUACAAAGGGGAAAGUCUCGUCUUCUGCGUGAGACCUUGGAGUUGCAGCAGGAUGUCUGUAGCGGCAGAAGAGAACUCAGACGUUGGAAUAGUUUUGACCAUCUUCUGAAGAGACGAGGUUAGAGUCAGUGUGUUUUCUGCUUUGGAGUCCAGACGGGUAAGAUGUGGAACACUGAUGAAGAACACAAUACUCCAGCUGGACACUUCAGUGUGAUGACCUCUGACCUUACAGUGGACUAAAACUUUGUCAGCCUUUCACAACGUUACAAUCCCCCCCUUUUCAAGGACUUGAGACCACGAAUAUAAGACUUCAACAUCCUUGAACCAGUUAGAACGGUCACAAGGAAGGUGAAACACCUCCUGACAGCAGAUCGUAGAGACCUUGCACGGAGAAUGUGGUGUUACAUGCAAAGGAACCAAACAUGGACGUAAUUUUGCGGGGGGACAGGUGUGACAUGUCCCCCCCACACACACUUUUUCCAAAGUCAAGUUUUGACCCCUCCACUUUUUACCAUCUAAAAACAAAAUUACGCUAUAUUAAAUUGACACUGGUUGAGCUGUAGGACCAAGCAGAAAACAACCGUUUGUGUUGAAGCCUGUUUCCCAU